GUACAAAGAGCCGGCUCUUGGAAGUGAACAAUGAGAGCCGGCUCUGUCAUUUUCUCUCUCUCUCUCUCUCUCUCUCUCUCUCUCUCUCUCUCUUUCCACAUGCAUGAAGCGAGGUUUGGCAGUGGCUCAGCUGCCGUGCUCAGAGAGGUAGACCAGAAGAGAAAGGGGAGGGGCGAGGGGCUUGGUAGGGACUGCCCAGAGUGCACACUAAGCACAUCCUCCGUCGCGUCUGCGCAGCCACAGACAGACAAAGGAAUUGACUUUCCAAGUUCCAACUUGUCCAGAGGAUCAUAAAC
Molecule: long non-coding RNA, 296 nt
Organism: Hippocampus comes (tiger tail seahorse)
Lineage: Eukaryota; Metazoa; Chordata; Actinopteri; Syngnathiformes; Syngnathidae
Exons: 2
Source: RefSeq, a predicted model, not a curated record